AUUGAACGCUGGCGGCAGGCCUAACACAUGCAAGUCGAGCGGAGAUGAGGUGCUUUCACCUUUUCUUCGCUGCGGACGGGUGAGUAAUUCUUAGGAAUCUGCCCUUUCUUUGGGGACAACAUUCCUACGGGAAUGCUAAUACCGCAUCCGUCCUACUGGAGAACCCAGUGGUUCUUUGGUCCUUGCGCUAAUUGCUGUGCCUAAGUCGGAUUACCUAGCUGGUGGGGUAAAGGCCUACCAAGGCGACGAUCUGUAGCGAGUCUGCGAGGAGGAUCCGCCACACUGGGACGGAGACACGGCCCAGACCCCUACGGGAGGCAGCAGGGGGGAAUAUUGGACAAUGGGGGGAACCCUGAUCCAGCCAAGCCGCGUGUGUGAAGAAGGCCUUAUGGUUGUAAAGCACUUUAAGCGAGGAGGAGGCUACUGAGACUAAUACUCUUGGAUAGUGGACGUUACUCGAAGAAUAAGCACCGGCUAACUCUGUG
This 485-nucleotide ribosomal RNA is filed under the name uncultured bacterium. Its description in RNAcentral is "partial 16S ribosomal RNA". It matches the Rfam family "Bacterial small subunit ribosomal RNA", at positions 30 to 507 of the family's 1533-position model. The record is from RNAcentral.